RNAcentral lists this unclassified non-coding RNA (337 nucleotides) under Hevea brasiliensis (rubber tree). Lineage: Eukaryota; Viridiplantae; Streptophyta; Magnoliopsida; Malpighiales; Euphorbiaceae. The record is from RNAcentral.
CCGGUAAACUGAAUUAAGCAUUGAAGCUCCCCAAAAGAAAAAAAAGUUGCGUCAAAUGGCUAUUAGGAAAAGCCUCUCAUGCCAAAUUCAAGAUUUAAAGCCUCCAAAUAGAAAAAGGAAUAUUAAAUUACAUGUAAACUGAAAGCAAAAUUUUUCAACAAUGACAAUACGAGCAUUAAUAUCACCAAAUUCCAAGUGGGCAAUCAACAACAUCAAUUCAUCUGAGAUAGCUCAAAAAUCCCAUUUAACCAGAGUUUUAUUGUUCUUCUAAAUUUCCCCCGUUCUUGCUAUACAAACACACACAAAAACAAUAACAUAUCAAAGCCAAGCAACUAAU